RNAcentral lists this ribosomal RNA (429 nucleotides) under uncultured bacterium. RNAcentral's name for it is "bacterial SSU rRNA". It matches the Rfam family "Bacterial small subunit ribosomal RNA", at positions 355 to 776 of the family's 1533-position model. The record is from RNAcentral.
UGGGGAAUCUUCCGCAAUGGACGCAAGUCUGACGGAGCGACGCCGCGUGGAUGAUGAAGGCCUUCGGGUUGUAAAGUCCUUUCGAAUGGGAAUAAGUGCAAUAGACGAAUAGUUCUAUUGUUUGACUGUACCAUAGGAAGAAGCUACGGCUAACUCUGUGCCAGCAGCCGCGGUAAUACAGAGGUAGCAAGCGUUGUCCGGAUUUACUGGGCGUAAAGGACGUGUAGGCGGCCAUAUAAGUCAGGUGUGAAAUCGUUCUGCUCAACAGGACAAUUGCAUUUGAUACUGUUUGGCUUGAGUGCAGGAGGGGAAAAUGGAAUUUCCGGUGUAGCGGUGAAAUGCGUAGAUAUCGGAAAGAACACCCGUGGCGAAGGCGGUUUUCUGGCCUGCAACUGACGCUGAGGCGUAAAAGCUAGGGGAGCAAACGGG